This 497-nucleotide ribosomal RNA is filed under the name uncultured bacterium. RNAcentral's name for it is "partial 16S ribosomal RNA". It matches the Rfam family "Bacterial small subunit ribosomal RNA", at positions 28 to 507 of the family's 1533-position model. The record is from RNAcentral.
GAUGAACGCUGGCGGCGUGCCUAAUACAUGCAAGUCGAGCGAACAGAUGAGGAGCUUGCUCCUCUGACGUUAGCGGCGGACGGGUGAGUAACACGUGGAUAACCUACCUAUAAGACUGGGAUAACUUCGGGAAACCGGAGCUAAUACCGGAUAAUAUAUUGAACCGCAUGGUUCAAUAGUGAAAGACGGUUUUGCUGUCACUUAUAGAUGGAUCCGCGCCGCAUUAGCUAGUUGGUAAGGUAACGGCUUACCAAGGCAACGAUGCGUAGCCGACCUGAGAGGGUGGUCGGCCACACUGGAACUGAGACACGGUCCAGACUCCUACGGGAGGCAGCAGUAGGGAAUCUUCCGCAAUGGGCGAAAGCCUGCCGGAGCAACGCCGCGUGAGUGAUGAAGGUCUUCGGAUCGUAAAACUCUGUUAUUAGGGAAGAACAAAUGUGUAAGUAACUAUGCACGUCUUGACGGUACCUAAUCAGAAAGCCACGGCUAACUACGUG